RNAcentral lists this ribosomal RNA (910 nucleotides) under Streptomyces sp. RNAcentral describes it as "bacterial SSU rRNA". It matches the Rfam family "Bacterial small subunit ribosomal RNA", at positions 1 to 889 of the family's 1533-position model. The record is from RNAcentral. Lineage: Bacteria; Bacillati; Actinomycetota; Actinomycetes; Kitasatosporales; Streptomycetaceae.
GAUGAUAUAAAUAUUUUUUUUUUUUUGUUUUAAGGGGGGUUUAGAGUUUGUUUUCUGCUCAGGACGAACGCUGGCGGCGUGCUUAACACAUGCAAGUCGAACGAUGAACCACUUCGGUGGGGAUUAGUGGCGAACGGGUGAGUAACACGUGGGCAAUCUGCCCUGCACUCUGGGACAAGCCCUGGAAACGGGGUCUAAUACCGGAUACUGACCCGCCUGGGCAUCCAGGCGGUUCGAAAGCUCCGGCGGUGCAGGAUGAGCCCGCGGCCUAUCAGCUUGUUGGUGAGGUAACGGCUCACCAAGGCGACGACGGGUAGCCGGCCUGAGAGGGCGACCGGCCACACUGGGACUGAGACACGGCCCAGACUCCUACGGGAGGCAGCAGUGGGGAAUAUUGCACAAUGGGCGAAAGCCUGAUGCAGCGACGCCGCGUGAGGGAUGACGGCCUUCGGGUUGUAAACCUCUUUCAGCAGGGAAGAAGCGAAAGUGACGGUACCUGCAGAAGAAGCGCCGGCUAACUACGUGCCAGCAGCCGCGGUAAUACGUAGGGCGCGAGCGUUGUCCGGAAUUAUUGGGCGUAAAGAGCUCGUAGGCGGCUUGUCGCGUCGGUUGUGAAAGCCCGGGGCUUAACCCCGGGUCUGCAGUCGAUACGGGCAGGCUAGAGUUCGGUAGGGGAGAUCGGAAUUCCUGGUGUAGCGGUGAAAUGCGCAGAUAUCAGGAGGAACACCGGUGGCGAAGGCGGAUCUCUGGGCCGAUACUGACGCUGAGGAGCGAAAGCGUGGGGAGCGAACAGGAUUAGAUACCCUGGUAGUCCACGCCGUAAACGGUGGGCACUAGGUGUGGGCGACAUUCCACGUCGUCCGUGCCGCAGCUAACGCAUUAAGUGCCCCGCCUGGGAGACGCCCACUGU